GUCUACAACCAUACCACCCUAAACACGCCCAAUCUCGGAAGCUAAGCAGGGUCGGGCCUGGUUAGUACUUGGAUGGGAGAAAAAAUAAUAAUAACCCAAUAAAAAAGCGAGCCAAGAAC
RNAcentral lists this ribosomal RNA (119 nucleotides) under Erinaceus europaeus (western European hedgehog). Lineage: Eukaryota; Metazoa; Chordata; Mammalia; Eulipotyphla; Erinaceidae. The record is from RNAcentral.